GUUCCUCGUUGGUGCGUCCAUGGGCCAGGACGCAUCAGCAAUCCUCCCACCCACGUGGUUCCUAACGUCUGCAACUAGACCUUCACUUCUUUUCAACGUACCUGCCGUGGAAGGUGCCGGGUCAAUGUCCAACGGUGUUAUUUUUGGACUGUUUGUCUCGCCGACAGCGAGAACAUCAUGCGGACACGUUCAACCAACACAAUGCCUUGAAAUCGGGGUCAGUCUCUCCGCCAAAACUGUCCAGGCUCUACAUGGACUGCACGAACUUCAACUGCCACCACCGUUUGAAGCUGAGCCAGGACCGAGCUGGCAGGACGUGACCGGGGUCCGGCCAAUCAGCGACCAGCGGCUAUCCAGGUCAACCAACCAGCGAUCUCCGGAGGACCGAGACCCAGCCGCCGCAGAUACACACUUUUAUUGCAAUCACUUUGAAAUUCCACGUCUUCGACACUUACAAACAUUAAUAGAUAGGUAGAGACCGGAAAAAUUCGCGGGUUCAAUGACCUUCAGGAUAGACUCCAACAUACUUUACACACUCUGGCAAAUGCCAACUGUUCAUUGGCUGCUGACUUGUGAGUCGUCUCGACUGGGUGGCCUGUGAUUCGACACUUCUUCGAGUGAGGGGUCUCUGAUUGGCCCUCAGUCCUCCAGAUCAACAGUGAACCAAUGGCAGAAGCAGCACUAAGGUAUAGUUAUUUGAAUUUUAGCAUAACACGAAAUGAACCCGCGAAUUUUUCAGGUCUCUAUAGAUAGGUAAAAAACUGAAGCGCAAUCACUAGGGACCGGAAAAAUUCGCGGAUUCAAUGACCUCUAGGAUAGCCUCCAUUAUCCUCUGCAUUUCUCAAGUAAACACGCGUGUUCAUUGGGUGGUAACCUGUGAGGCGUCUCCACUUGGUAGCUUGUGAUUCGACGCUUCUUUGGUCGAUAAUCUCUCAUUGGCCCAGAGAGCUCCAGUUAAACUGCGAGCCAAUAGCAGAACCAGCAGAAUUUGUACACAUGUUUGAAUUUCAGCCUAUCACGAAAUGAAUCCGCGAAUUUUUCCGGUCUCUAGCAAUCACUGCAACAAAGACAGAGUUAUGUUUGAAACUUUUUUCCCGUGCACCCUUGAAGGGAAGCCUCCUGAUUGGCCAGAGGAAGAGAAAGCCGGGUCAGUCACCCUGGCAGGUGCCGUUAGCUCCGGCGGGCUGUACCACGGAGGCUGUCCCUAGGGAGACGAGUCCCAGCAUGAUGUCCCUCGACAACCCCUGGUGCUCGCUACCUGCCCCGACUUGAUGUAGGCUUUUGGACAUACGUAGGGACACCUGUAUUUCGCGAAUACAUUUCGUGUCAAGGUAUUUCACAAAAUACUGUAGCUUUUCUCCUGUGGUUAUUGGCUGAGGUCGGUGAGAGGUGUCGUCCCGCUCUUGACCGGGCCAAUGAGAAUGUGGUCACCGUACUGCUGCACCCUCACAAUUUGCCACGGCUCUUAGAAAAAGCUACAGUGUUUUGUGAAAUACCUUGACAUGAAAUAAAAUCGCGAAAUACAGGUGUCCCUAGACAUACGCUAUUGCUAGAGACUUGCAAAAUUCGCGAAUUCAAUGACCUCCAGGAUAGACUCUACUACACUCUACACACUCGGGCAAAUGCCACCUGUUCAUUGGCUGCUGACUUGUGAGUCGUCUCGACCGAGUGUCUGUGA
Molecule: long non-coding RNA, 1678 nt
Organism: Bacillus rossius redtenbacheri
Lineage: Eukaryota; Metazoa; Arthropoda; Insecta; Phasmatodea; Bacillidae
Exons: 3
Source: RefSeq, a predicted model, not a curated record